Molecule: ribosomal RNA, 468 nt
Filed under: uncultured bacterium
Lineage: Bacteria
Description: partial 16S ribosomal RNA
Rfam family: Bacterial small subunit ribosomal RNA
Source: RNAcentral
GACGAACGCUGGCGGCGUGCUUAACACAUGCGAGUCGAACGGAAAGGCCCUGCUUUUGUGGGGUGCUCGAGUGGCGAACGGGUGAGUAACACGUGAGUAACCUGCCCUUGACUUUGGGAUAACUUCAGGAAACUGGGGCUAAUACCGGAUAGGAGCUCCUGCUGCAUGGUGGGGGUUGGAAAGUUUCGGCGGUUGGGGAUGGACUCGCGGCUUAUCAGCUUGUUGGUGGGGUAGGGGCUUUCCAAGGCUUUGACGGGUAGCCGGCCUGAGAGGGUGACCGGCCACAUUGGGACUGAGAUACGGCCCAGACUCCUACGGGAGGCAGCAGUGGGGAAUAUUGCACAAUGGGCGGAAGCCUGAUGCAGCAACGCCGCGUGCGGGAUGACGGCCUUCGGGUUGUAAACCGCUUUCGCCUGUGACGAAGCGUGAGUGACGGUAAUGGGUAAAGAAGCACCGGCUAACUACGUG